Molecule: long non-coding RNA, 1162 nt
Filed under: Equus asinus (donkey)
Lineage: Eukaryota; Metazoa; Chordata; Mammalia; Perissodactyla; Equidae
Description: lncRNA (ENSEASG00005037325.1)
Source: RNAcentral
GGAACUCGUCCUGGUCGAGAAAGCCCUGAAACAAACCCCCAUAGAAUGCUACAGUCAUACGUCACCUAACGACGGGGAUAUGUUAUGAGAAAUGCAUCGUUAGGCGAUUUCAUCGUUGUGUGAACGUCAUAGAGUGUACUCCCAGAAACCUAGAUGGCAUAGCCUGCUACACACCUAGGCUAUGUGGCACUAAUCUUAUGGGACCUCAUCGUGUACGCAGUCUGUCGUUGACUGAAAUAUUAUGCGGUGCAUGACGGUGAACAAUUACAAAAAACAUAUAAGCACAGUCUGGCCUAUGGUGAUGACCUCUCUGAAUUGAGAACCAUGAGAUUUCAAAGGUCACAUGAUUUGGCUCCAGUGAUAGAAUCUAGGUUUCCUGCAAACCUAAAGGAAUUCAGCAAGUGGGAGCUGCCUCGGGCCUCUGGAUGUAGAGGGACUGAGGCCUAGUGAGGUGAUUUGCCCAAGAUUGCACAGCAAGACUUUACUACAGUGCUCUCUUCACAACAUCAACUUGGAAAAUGUUGGAGAAGAAUUGCUGCUUUGCUAAUUGUAAGGGAAAAUGGUUCUCUUGUUCCUGAAAUCAUACCCCUCCUGGGAGACAGAGGAAUAAAACAGAACCUGAAUGGUCAGUCUUGGAAUGAAAACUGGCUCAAUUUUCUAUCAAUUUUUUUUCUCAGCCACAUUCGUAUUAGGGGCAACUUAUUUAAAUUUAUUAUGUAGCAUCAACAGAGCACCAGGAUUUGUUUAGUGCUACAGUAAGUCACAGUUCCUGCCAAGGCAAAUUGCAUCUCUAUUUUAUAAAUAGUCUGUACCCUGUGCUUAUUUGAUUUAAAAUAAAAUCUGUAUGUAGUAUGCAGUAUGUUUCCUUUGAGCCUUUGUGUGGGGGAGCAGUCUGUGGAUGAGUUCAUACUGGAGACGUUCAACUGAGUGAGAGCUGUUCACUAGAUACUCCAUGGGCUUCUAAUGUUCUCCUGGUGCUUAACUGAUAAAAAAUAAAACCCAGCACUGCCUGCGGGAAAUGUGGAUAAUCUUUAUUCAGCUACUGACGUUCCCAGCACCCCACUUCACAGACUUCAAAUUCUGAAGUCAAUGACCAAUGUCAAAGUGAUAAAUGGAUAGAAGUUACUGGAAGAGCUCCCAUGUAGAGGACUGUAGUUGGGAG